GCCGGCGUGGCUCAGUGGAUAGAGCUCCGGCCUGCGGACUGAAGGAUCGCAGGUUCGAUUCCUGUCAAGGGCA
This 73-nucleotide transfer RNA is filed under the name Myotis brandtii (Brandt's bat). It matches the Rfam family "tRNA". From Rfam's summary of the family: Transfer RNA (tRNA) molecules are approximately 80 nucleotides in length. Lineage: Eukaryota; Metazoa; Chordata; Mammalia; Chiroptera; Vespertilionidae. The record is from Rfam by way of RNAcentral.